AGCUCCAAUAGCGUAUAUUAAAGCUGUUGCAGUUAAAAAGCUCGUAGUUGGAUCUCGGGUCCAGACUUGCGGUUCACCUCGCGGUGAUUACUGCUUGUUCUGACCUACCUACCGGUUGUCCCUUGGUGCUCUUGACUGAGUGUCUCGGGUGGCCGGAACGUUUACUUUGAAAAAAUUAGAGUGUUCAAAGCAGGCAAUACGCCUGAAUAAUGGUGCAUGGAAUAAUGGAAUAGGACCUCGGUUCUAUUUUGUUGGUUUUCGGAACUUGAGGUAAUGAUAAAGAGGGACAGACGGGGGCAUUCGUAUUACGGUGUUAGAGGUGAAAUUCUUGGAUCGCCGUAAGACGAACUACUGCGAAAGCAUUUGCCAAGCAUGUUUUCC
This 381-nucleotide ribosomal RNA is filed under the name marine Metazoa environmental sample. RNAcentral's name for it is "SSU rRNA". It matches the Rfam family "Eukaryotic small subunit ribosomal RNA", at positions 587 to 972 of the family's 1831-position model. The record is from RNAcentral. Lineage: Eukaryota; Metazoa.